Molecule: long non-coding RNA, 3674 nt
Organism: Alligator mississippiensis (American alligator)
Lineage: Eukaryota; Metazoa; Chordata; Crocodylia; Alligatoridae
Exons: 2
Source: RefSeq, a predicted model, not a curated record
UCCUCUGACGGGGAGGAGCGAGCCGGGCGCUGCGGGGCUGGGCUUCCCCCGGGAGCGGCCUCAGAUGAGCCGGGCGGGUGUGGGUGAGAUGUGCUUGGCCCUGGGAAUGGCAGCAGCCUGGCUCGGGGCUCCCAGGACUCUCUUAAGAGCCAUCACGAGGGGCAGAGGUCAGGUUUUACACGUGGGAGAGCUGUGAGUCUCCCUUAAUCACAGGACUCCAGGAGCUGGGGCUUUAAGAGCCAUGCCAAAGACUGGGACACUCCAGACCCGAUUCUGAGCUGGCAGCGCUGGGAGAUAAAAUCCCACUUGUAUGUGUCCUUCCCCCCACCACAAAGAGAUGCCUGGCUGUCUUAAGUGCUCAGAGGAUUUCAAACCACCAGCGAGUGUUUCACUACUUGGAAUCUUUGUUUCCUUUCUUGCAAGGAUAAAAACACUUCCCCUUUUGAAUCGAGUUGAAUUUCAGAGCCUCCCAACGCAGUGUUUGCAUGAUAAAUACUUCAGGGGAAUGCGUAUUUGUUUGAUGGCUUUAAAAAGAAGCAGGACGAAUUACAAAAUAAAUCGUGCAAGCAAAUAUAUUGGUUGCAACCUCCCUCCCCCUCCUGCAAAAAACCCCAAACCUCAGUCUGGGGACAAACUUGACCUGACAAUGUCUCUUGAAGAUUGCUCCUUUUUUAUCAUUCUGCGGUGAAAGGUCUGCUGUGGCCACACCACUUGGAGCUGUGAACUUGUGAGUUGUCAUAAAUUAAGCAGCACUAUUGAAUGGGAUACCUCCCAGGACCAGCUAAGUGCUGCAGGAAGUGGUAUGAAUGAUUCAGGAGGUGGCACUCUGCCAUCUGAGUCAGUAUUGAACCAAUGCCCCACCAGGCUGCCGAAAAGUAUUGUUUUUCUGGAUUAGACAUUACCAUCAGGCCUUGACUGCUGCUGAUCGCUCGAGCUCCUUAUUUUUCAAACGAAGAGCCAGGCUAGUUUUUGUGUCACAAUGAAAUGCAAAGGACUUAAUUCUCAUCGGCACUUAAGCAGGGCCCUAAUUUUAAAUGAGAGGCCAGCUCAAACUGUGUAAUUGCAUUCUUCUUCCUUAAAUGCUAUUUUAAUUAGCUGCGAUCCACCCCACUUUCUCUCCUGUGUAUUAUUACUAUGCUCUUUUUAGGGACAGCUGAAACUCAGUCAUGCGGAAAGGUAUUUGAGUGCUUGUGUCCCAGAAAGGCUCUGUCUUCACUGGGAAAGGUGCUUUGCUUUGUUUUGUUCGUUAAGUAGGAUAACUAAUAACCUGUAGUGUGGCCUGUUGUUUAAUAUGGACCCCAGCUAUCCAUGCCUGGUAGCUAUCUCUCAGUAAAAACUACAGAGCCUUGUCUUUGUUAGGAUUUUAUAGUGGAAUAGCCAACCUGUGCGGUUUGCCCGUUGUAAAAAGCCCACAAAGACAAAACAUUUUGCAAAGACAUCACCAUCUGAGUAACUUUGCUCAGGCAAGUAAUCUUGUAGUACCUAGAAGGAUAGCUCACAUCUCCAGUUACUCAUGUGUCAGUCUAUGUAGGACCAGGGCAUUAGUUUGUUAAGCAUGUUUGCAGAGGAAGGUUGCUGUAUGCCAGCUAUUGUGGUUCUUUAAAAAGUGCAUUAGCAUUACAUUAAGGUUAUUACUGUAGCUGACCAGAAACACCAGGGAAUUUAUAGCUACAGCACAAGGUCCUUUUCUUAGCAUGCUACACAGGAGGAGGGAAAUGGGAGAAACUAACAUUAAAUAAAUAUGUGUUUAGGGUGGCAAUUUGAAAACCACUUUGCUUUGACCUAAUUCUGCUCCCAUUGAAAUCAUUGGGAGUUUUCCAUUAAUUCCAAGGGGAGCAGUAAGAACUUUUGUUCAGGCUCGCUCAUGUACUGCCAGACCCUGCAGGUCCAUCCUAGGCCGCAAACAGGAGAAGGGUUGCCAGAAAGAAGGAGUAGGGAGUGCAGGAUUGUCCCCUGGGUAAGGGCUCCAGGGUUAGCCACCCACACCAUUGCCGCUUGCUGUGUGUAUCCUUCUUUGUGUGGGGAACCCGUCCCUGGUGGAGGUUUGCAGCUGCUGCUCAGGUCUUUCAUGUCCCCACGUGUAGCAUGUCUCCGUGCUCAAGGUUGUAAUGAAAUUUGUGUCCAAGGUAUGGCAACCAGCUUGAGUUUUACAUCUUGAAACUUCAGAAGGGGCUCUGCAUUGGAGCUCUGCGGGCCAGUGCUCAUAGUCAGCAGUGGAGAGGGGGACUAAAUUACACCCGUGUUUACUUUAUGGCUCCUUUAAACCCUCCAAACAGCAGAAAGUGCAAAUGCAAAACUGGCCUACGGGAGCUAGACAAACACCCAAGUAGACUCGUCAUCCAGAAAGGGGCAGCCACGCCACUGUCUGACUGCUUGGGAAAGGUGUUGGAGUAGGAUCUGGGUCUGGUGUUUGUCCACAGGGAGCAUGUGGCCAGCAGCAGCACAAAUGUCUGCCCUGGUAUUGUGUUAAUAUGCCUCAAACCAACCUGUUGGUCCCUUCCAGAUACAGCAUGGAGGCGGUCUUUGUUGGCCAUUUGUUCAGUGUCAGGACUCUGCUGAUGAGGGACCACUGCUGCUGGUGUUCACUGGGAGACCACUGAGCUUUUGAAUACAUGCAGCCAAAAGGCCAUUAUGAUAUUAAAACUGGCCUGGGGUCAAACUGAUGACCCAAAAGAGGAAAUUUCUGUAGACCCCUAUGCACUGCCGGAGGUGUCAAGUUCCCUCCCUGAGAGAGUUAACAAAUUACCAGUCUGAUUUAUUGAUACUCGGAGGUGGGGGUUGGGAUAUUUCCUCAUUCGCAGAAACCUUAUGCUGUAUGUCUGGCGCGUCCUGGGGACUUGUUCCAUGGCAACGUAGUGCUGGAGCACCAUGGCAGGGAACCUGGUGCCUGUGUGAAUGCAAAGCUCUUGCUAACAAGGGCAUUACCGGUCAGCUUUAGAUGCAAGUAACCAUGACGCUUUCCUGGGUCUGAAGCUGUGGGGGCCCCCACUAGGCUAAGCUACAUGAUAUCUCCAGGGUAGCAGCGGAGGUCCUUCAGUGUGGCGGGACCCAUACCUUACCAUAUGCCUGAAGCCCCUGGAAGUCGAACACUAGCUGCGGCUAUCGCACAGAGAUUUGAAAGAGGACUGCCACAAGCGCCUCCAGCCCCUGCAUGCCAACCUAUGCUACGGAUCAGUGUGAGAUGUGAGCCCUCUUUUGUACCUGCAGAGUUGGAGGACCUUGUCACCAAUGCUUUCAAGAAAGAAGGUGAGAGGCAAGGAUUUCUUAGGGCGAUAUCUUUUAUUGGACCGACUGCAUAAGUGGAAUGGUUAGUUUUCAAAUGCCAAACAUCCUUCUUUAGGUUAGAAGUCAGCCAGAUGGGUGAACUCUAUAGGAAAGAUGGCAUUAGCAUGCCUGUGAAGUCGACUGUAGUAUUAGCUAUAUGCAGUAGUAAGAGCUCACCUCUCACCACUGGGGAUGCUUACUCCUUGACGGUCUAGGUGUUAUAACUGAAGUAAUGAGGCUUAAAGUGGAAAAAGAGGUUAGACACCCAGCUAGAGAAUGAUGACAGCAGAAGGCAGAAAGAGCAUAUACCGGGUGUUUGUAAAAAAGACUCUUAAUCUGCCCCAAUCCCACUGACUCUCCUCACCUUUCUGUCUGCUGGGGAAUGGGAAAAUAAAAAACAGGAGCUGAAA